UUAAGUGACUAAGCGUAUACGGUGGAUGCCUUGGCAGUUAGAGGCGAUGAAGGACGUGUAAGUCUGCGAAAAGCUGUGGUGAGCCGACAAAAUGCAUUUGAGCCACAGAUGUCCGAAUGGGGAAACCCACCUAUUUAUAGGUAUCGUUACAUGAAUAUAUAGUGUAACGAGGCGAACGAGGGGAACUGAAACAUCUAAGUACCCUUAGGAAAAGAAAUCAACCGAGAUUCCCCUAGUAGCGGCGAGCGAACGGGGAUUAGCCCUUAAGCAAUUAUGAACGUAGUGGAAGCCUCUGGGAAGUGGCGCGAUACAAGGUGAUAGCCCUGUACACGAAGUGUUUGUUUUUGUGAAAUCGAGUAGGUCGGGACACGUGUUAUCUUGACUGAAUAUGGGGGGACCAUCCUCCAAGGCUAAAUACUCCUAACUGACCGAUAGUGAACCAGUACCGUGAGGGAAAGGCGAAAAGAACCCCUGUGAGGGGAGUGAAAUAGAACCUGAAACCGUAUACGUACAAGCAGUGGGAGCAGACUUGUUCUGUGACUGCGUACCUUUUGUAUAAUGGGUCAGCGACUUAUAUUUUGUAGCAAGGUUAACCGAAUAGGGGAGCCGUAGCGAAAGCGAGUGUUAACUGCGCGUUUAGUUGCAGGGUAUAGACCCGAAACCCGGCGAUCUACCCAUGGGCAGGUUGAAGGUUGAGUAACAUCAACUGGAGGACCGAACACACGUAUGUUGAAAAAUGCGGUGAUGACUUGUGGGUCGGAGUGAAAGGCUAAUCAAGCCGGGAGAUAGCUGGUUCUCCCCGAAAUCUAUUUAGGUAGAGCCUCGCACGAACACCAUUGGGGGUAGAGCACUGUUAAGGCUAGGGGGUCAUCCCGACUUACCAACCCUUUGCAAACUCCGAAUACCAAUGAGUGAUAUGCGGGAGACACACUACGGGUGCUAACGUCCGUUGUGAAGAGGGAAACAACCCAGACCGCCAGCUAAGGUCCCAAAGUACUAGUUAAGUGGGAAACGAUGUGGAAAGGCAUAGACAGCUAGGAGGUUGGCUUAGAAGCAGCCAUCCUUUAAAGAAAGCGUAAUAGCUCACUAGUCGAGUCGGUCUGCGCGGAAGAUGUAACGGGGCUAAACUAGUCACCGAAGCUGCGGAUUCAUAAUUUAUUAUGAGUGGUAGGGGAGCGUUCUGUAAGCCGUUGAAGGUGUGUUGUAAAGCAUGCUGGAGGUAUCAGAAGUGCGAAUGCUGACAUGAGUAACGAUAAGGGGAGUGAAAAACUCCCCCGCCGAAAGACCAAGGUUUCCUGUCCCAUGUUAAUCAGGGCAGGGUAAGUCGGCCCCUAAGGCGAGGCGGAAACGCGUAGUCGAUGGGAAACAGAUUAAUAUUUCUGUACUUCUAUAUAUUGCGAAGGAGGGACGGAGUAGGCUAGGUGAGCACGGCGUUGGUAGUCCGUGUGAAAGUAUGUAGGCGGUUGACUUAGGUAAAUCCGGGUCUUCAUUAACGCUGAGAUACGAGACGAGUGUCCAAGGACAUGAAGUCAUUGAUGCCAUGCUUCCAGGAAAAGCUUCUAAGCUUCAGAUAUAUAGGAACCGUACCCCAAACCGACACAGGUGGUUAGGUAGAGAAUACUAAGGCGCUUGAGAGAACUCGGGUGAAGGAACUAGGCAAAAUAGUACCGUAACUUCGGGAGAAGGUACGCUCUCUAAUGUGAAUGACUUGCUCAGUAAGCAUCGGAGAGUCGAAGUAACCAGGUGGCUGGAACUGUUUAUUAAAAACACAGCACUGUGCAAAAUCGAAAGAUGACGUAUACGGUGUGACGCCUGCCCGGUGCCGGAAGGUUAAUUGAUUGGGUUAGCUCUGCGAAGCUCAUGAUCGAAGCCCCGGUAAACGGCGGCCGUAACUAUAACGGUCCUAAGGUAGCGAAAUUCCUUGUCGGGU
RNAcentral lists this ribosomal RNA (1930 nucleotides) under seawater metagenome. RNAcentral's name for it is "bacterial LSU rRNA". It matches the Rfam family "Bacterial large subunit ribosomal RNA", at positions 1 to 1977 of the family's 2925-position model. The record is from RNAcentral.